Molecule: long non-coding RNA, 199 nt
Filed under: Lathyrus oleraceus (garden pea)
Lineage: Eukaryota; Viridiplantae; Streptophyta; Magnoliopsida; Fabales; Fabaceae
Description: Pisum sativum (pea) long non-coding RNA (PSAT_LNC039066)
Source: RNAcentral
CCAAAAUAACAACAUUUUACACCUCACUUCACACUUUUAUUCUUAUGGAUAAAUCACUUAUUAAAAAGCUCAUGAGAACACCUAAUCCACCCUAUUUAAGAAGCUGGAAACCCUAACCCUAAAGGAGAAUUUGGAAUUUUGUGGCAAGGAGGCAAAGCUUCACCACAUAUCAAAUUCCAUUCCACUUCUAUUUUCCAUU